Molecule: ribosomal RNA, 522 nt
Filed under: uncultured bacterium
Lineage: Bacteria
Description: partial 16S ribosomal RNA
Rfam family: Bacterial small subunit ribosomal RNA
Source: RNAcentral
GAUGAACGCUGGCGGCGUGCCUAAUACAUGCAAGUCGAACGCUUUGUCUUUAAUUGAUAUGAAGAGCUUGCUCUGAUUUGAUUUUAUCUGACAAAGAGUGGCGAACGGGUGAGUAACACGUUGGUAACCUACCUCUUAGCAGGGGAUAACAUUUGGAAACAAGUGCUAAUACCGUAUAACACUAACAACCGCAUGGUUGUUAGUUGAAAGAUGGUUCUGCUAUCACUAAGAGAUGGACCCGCGGUGCAUUAGCUAGUUGGUAAGGUAAUGGCUUACCAAGGCGAUGAUGCGUAGCCGAGUUGAGAGACUGAUCGGCCACAAUGGGACUGAGACACGGCCUAUACUCCUACGGGAGGCAGCAGUAGGGAAUCUUCCACAAUGGGCGCAAGCCUGAUGGAGCAACGCCGCGUGUGUGAUGAAGGGUUUCGGCUCGUAAAACACUGUUAUAAGAGAAGAACGACAUUGAGAGUAACUGUUCAGUGUGUGACGGUAUCUUAUCAGAAAGGAACGGCUAAAUACGUG